Molecule: long non-coding RNA, 10290 nt
Organism: Sarcophilus harrisii (Tasmanian devil)
Lineage: Eukaryota; Metazoa; Chordata; Mammalia; Dasyuromorphia; Dasyuridae
Source: Ensembl
GCCUCGCUUUAGAGAUCCAUCCCCACCGGGGCCGCUAGGUGGCGUCCCAGACAGUGCGCCGGCUUCAGCCACGAGGUGGCGCCCCAGAUAGUGCGCCGGCUUCAGCCACGAGGUGGCGCCCCAGAUAGUGCGCCGGCUUCAGCCACGAGGUGGCGCCCCAGACAGUGCGCCGGCUUCAGCCACGAGGUGGCGCCCCGGAUAGUGCGUCGGCUUCAGCCACGAGGUGGCGCCCCGGAUAGUACGUCGGCUUAAGUCAUCCCUUUGCAUUUGGGGAGAACUGGUUCCCUUCCUCAGCUGUAAAACGGGGAUAUAAUAGCACAUCUCCCCCUCUCCCCUCCCCCCCGGCCCCGCCAUCCGUGUCCUUCCGGGUGCUUUGCUUUGUCCCGGGCCGGCUGUCGCGGGCCCAGUUUCUGGCCCAGAGCGCAAAACCAGUUGGCUUGUCCGGGGCCCGCGGCCGCUCGGGCCCGGCUGGAGCCGCUCCCUUGACGGCGUCCUUCAGCAUAAUAUAAUAAUGAAACGCAUUAGAAAAAGUAACUCCGCACUUUCCCCUGAGGCGGCUGGAGCUAAGCGCCUUGCCCGGGUCACCCGGGGGUAACUCGCUAUCUCCGGGAGGCCGCUGGGGGGCGCACUCUCAGAUCAAGGCCCUGCCCCCGCUGCCGCCUUAGAUCCGGCGCUCCAUGUGCCAGGGUCCGCCGUGGUCUGUCAGCGGGGGUGACGCACAGGGCGCCCCGGAACAACGCAGGAGGGAGAGCUCCCGGCCAGGCCUCAAGCUCAGUUUCUCACUUGGCCCCUUUGGGGAAGUGGCCGCUCUGAGAAGAGGGGGGGGGGGGGGGAGGGGGGGGGGGGGGGGGAGGGAAAGAAAGAAAGGGGGACAAGAGGGGAGGUGAGUGAGAGGGGCUGGGAGGCAGAGAGCAGGAUACGGACGACCGCAGUCACAUUUAUAAAGCGCCCACUAAAUGCCAGGCGCUGUACAAAGUACCUUUCAAAGGUGAUCUCACUCGAUCCUCACAACAGCCUGCAGAGGAGGCGCUGCUAUUAUUCCCAUUUUACGGUGAGAAAACCAAGGCAGACAAACGGAACGACUACUCCAAGGUCACGCCGCUGGGGUGCGAGGUCGGAAUCCGCUCGCCAGCGUGUUGAGCGUUUGCUAGAAGCUUGGAACACAAAUCCCAAGGAAGGCAGCAGCUGCCUUCAAAAAGCUCCUAUUCCAAUGCGGGGCGCGCGGAAACAAGGCACACGGGGGAGGCGGGAGGGGAAGAGGACCCGCUCGCACUUUGGAGAGGGGCAGAUAAUGAGGGAGAGACCCGGAUGGCCAAGUCAGAAUUCGAACCCAGCCCCGGCCAUCAAGCAGGUUCCCCCAGCAGCCAAGAGGAACCGCAACCCUCGGGCACCCCAGUCCCACCGAUGGCUCCUUCUCUACAAUCCUGGACGUGCCACAUGUCCUUAGCCCUGUUACAGGGGAGGGAGGAGACACAGAAAGGAUAAUAAAAAAUAAAGCAAAUUUUCUAGAAGGGCUUGUGCACUCACCACCAAAACCACCGCCGGGGCCCAUUUUAAUAAUACUUGACCUCUCUCGACCAGUCUUGUAAAUUGUAAGGGACUACGUUGGUCAGUGAGUCAAAAGCAUUUAUUAAGCACCUACUGUAUGCAAGGGACCACUUUAAGUACCAAAAAACAGCCCCCACUCUCAAUGAGCCCCUUUCGCCCCCUCCCCCGGUGGCUCAGACACCAUACACAAGCUAUCGGCAGGAGAGCAGAGGGAACCAGACUGGGCCUGUGAUCAUACAUCCACAGGGACCUCCAUCUGGGGGAAGAGAGGGGCAGACCCCGGACCCCAGGGGCAGAGCUGCAGGAUGGCAACUGUGAGCAACCGACUAUUCCCUGGCUUUGCCGAGUGUGGGAAAAAAAAGCAGAAAAUGGAACAGAUCAAACCAUCCCCAUAGUGGGGGAUAAAACAGUUACUACAUUAUCCGGACCUUGGACCCUCCUGCUUGAGCAAAUCUGGAAGAAAAAGAAAGGUUCUGACCAGGGGGAAAUGUCAGGGCCAGGAGGGGCCUUAGAACAGGGGAUGUUAGAGCUGACAAGAACCUUAGAAUAGGGGGUGUCAGACCUGGGAGGGGCCUUAGAAUGGGGGAUGGCAGAGCUGAUAGGGUGUCAAGAACUGGAUGGAAGGUGGUAGAGAUUACCUCGUCUCACUUCCUCAUCUUACAGAUGGAGAAAGUGAGUCCCAUGGGGGGAAAGCUUUCCCAAGGUCACACCGUGACUCACAGGCAGGAUCAGAAAGAGCCCCAGUUUCCUGGGGUGACUGCUUUUCACUUUGGGGCCCCCAGCUGUUAGCUGAGCACCAGGCCCUGAGAGGGGCCCGGCUCCUGGCGGCAAGGGGCCCUUGUCUAGCAGGGGGAAGGAGGAGCUCUCUGUCAGGAGACAGAAUGGGCUUGUCUGCCAGGCCCAGGGGCAGAAAUAGGCGCAGGGUAUGAAGAUGCCAGGGGGCCACGGUGAGCUUGCUGGUCAGGCCGUGACUGAACAUGUGGCAGGGACGACCGUGGGGCAGGCCCCGCACUAUAUGUGGGGGCACAGAGAGAGCUAGAGACAGGCUGCCUCCGGAAGCUCCCAGGCCCACGUGCGAGGCACCAUGUAAGCCAGCCAAGGCAGGACAAACUGGGGAGGCCUCCGGGGGAGGCCCCGAGUAAGCUUGGAGGCAGAGGACAGGAGCUGGCCCAGGUGCACAGACAGGGCUGGGCUCCUCCUGCCCUUCUGCCCCUGGACCAUCUCUCCCAAUGGCAUCCAAUGCCAAGUAUUUUAGGAUCCAUAAAGAAGGAUGUUUCCUCAUGGACAUGGCUCCUUCCGAGGCCGAGGACUCAAGAGGGUGGCAGGAACCACACAGCAGGAGCCGGCGGACCAAGGUUCUAGGCCGGAGCUUUGCCCUGAACUUAGGCAAGGGACCCCCCUCCAGACACCAAUUUCUCAUCUGUACAAUGAGGCGCUGGGGCAUGUGACACUGAGGAACCCUUUAAGCUUGCACAGUCUCAGUUCUCCAUUCUAAUGUUCGCUGAUCUAAGAUCCUUCCUGACAUCCCCUGUUCUAAGCCUCCCCCCAGCCCUGACCCUCCUUAUUCUAAGCCCCUCCCCAGCCCUGACACCCUGUUCUAAGUCCUUUCCCACCUCAGAUGCCCCUGCUCUAAGGGCCGCAGGAGUGGAGGUUUCUCUGGCCCCCAGGCCUCCCUGUGGGACUGCACGUGGCUGAGCGUCCCUGCAUCAUGGGCUUGUCCCUGGAAGGGCCUUGGGGUCAGAGUCCACCCCUCCCUUUACGAGUGAGCAAACUGCCCCAAAGGUGGGAGGCCCUCGUCGGCUGGGACGGACCCGUCCUCUGCAACCAACUACGGGACGCCCCCGUUCCCCCUGAGCCUCAUGGGGGCAGCAAGCUCCAGAUCUCCCUCCCGCAGAGCCCCAGGGAAACCAUCGGAGGGGGCGAGUCGGGGAGCCGGUGGCUCAUCCUAAACGUACAACAGCCACUGUAGAAGAGGGGAUGUAACCCAGACUCCUCCUUGUUCUUCCCUGCCAGGGUCGGACUCCACCAUGGUGCGUUACCCUCCAUCCCCCAGGGGAGCCCGCAUCCCAAGCGCCUUCCGGGAAAGCCUGGCCCUCCCCCAGCUUCCCACCAGCCCUCAAGGGGAAAGAAUUCUGGACGAGGUUGGAAACCCCGCCCGGGCCUGGUCCCCCAGCACCCUUGCCUGAGAGCCGGAGGGAGAGCGAGCCUCUGCAGCCAGGCUGCCCCCCUCCCCCGGGGCUCACCUUCUGCCGGGCGCCGAGGGGGGGAACCUGGCCCGAGUCACCCCCUGGGCUGGGAAGCGGCGGAAGGAUGCGGAGCACAGACUUCCUAGUCCCAAGGCCCAUCAGUGUCAGGAGACUCCCCAGAGGCCCAGGGGGGCUCGCAGGGGAGGCAGACGCUCGCCAUGCAAAAAGGGCCGACUCACAGGAAACAAGCUUCACUUACCCAUCCUGACAACAGGGCCCCAGAAGCCGCCGGCCCGCCGGUCUGGUUUAAGGGCCCCAGUGCCCGCAGGUCUGGUUUAAGAGCCCCGGUGCCCGCCGGUCUGGGGUCUAAGGCCCUGCCAAGGCCCCGGAUGCCCACGCUCUGGGUUCUAAGGUUCCCCACCUCCGGACCUUCGGUGUUCUCAAUAACAAUCUCAGACGAUCAAAAACCAAACGAAGGCCGGUUCCAAAUCACUAACAAUAAGAGAAAUGCAAAUCGAGGUAAUUCCGAGGUCUCCCCGCGCACCUGACCAACUGCAGAGAUGGCAUGACGGACAGCUGGGGGGGGGCGGUCCCGGGAGCCUCUCCGGCCAAUUGUCCGAGGGCUCGUGACCUUUGACCCGAGGUCCCCCCCCUCCCCGGGGGGCAGGAAUGGGAAGGCGGUAGGUGCCACAGAGACUGUCAGAGAAGCAUUUGGGGGAUGGAGAAGAUGGCAGGAAAGGAGAGAGCAAGCGCCCCCCGGCCGGGGAACCUCAGCGCCAACGGCAAGCACGGGCACGGCCCUGCUGUGGUAAUGGCCCAUGGGAAGAUGGACGCCCCCGCCCCCCGGGACGCUAGGACAGCAAGGCCGCUAGGGGGCGCCAGAGGGGAUAGCGCGCCAUUCCUGAGGACGACCACUCUGGGGCGGGAGGAGGAGACCAGAGGCCCCGUGAUCUGCCCCCGUGACAGGAGGGCCUGGUGGAAGGCGGCCCGUGCCGGCGUCAGUCACCAUAAAGCACCUACUGUGCUCCGAGCGGCGCCCUGGGUCCCUGCUCUCGGGAGCCGGGGAACUUGGAGCCAGGAGAUGCUCUCUCCCCCCCCCCCCCCCCCCCCCCCCCCCCCCCCCGCCCCCCCCCCGGUCUUUCCUCGACUUCAGUUCCUGCUCUGUAAAACGGCCUCGAAGGUCCUUCCGGGCUCCCCCAUAAACUUGCUGAGGACCCGUCCCGGGCACCCGAGAAAACCUUCCCGCUGCCGGGUCUCGGCUCCCUCGCAGCCCAGCCUCCCCAGGACAGGCUCCCUCAGGGGCCGGGGGCGCGCGGGCACAGCCGCGGAGGGCCGGAGACUCCGAAGCCAGAGGCCCAGAAAGGACUCCACGGCUUUGGGUGAAUCCGCCUGCUCGUCCUUGGCAGGGGGGGGGGGGGAACACGGCACCUGCAAGGGCCCCCCCCACACACACACGUCAUUCCUCCACCGCCCGAGGGUCGGGCCCCGGGGACAGGGGGGAAGCCGCCCCCGCUCCCGGAGAGCCCGCAGGCCGGUGAGGGGCGCAGCCCGGGGGAGCGCCGCUGGCGUCGGGAGGAGAGCUUGGGCCGCCCGAGAGCCCCGGAAAGCAAGAAGGGCUCAGAGCGGCGGCGGCUCCCGGGCAGGCUACAAGAGGGCGCGGGGCCCCACCGUGAGGCUGAGCUUAGGACCCGUUUCCCGCGGCCGUCACCGGGGCUGGCGGGGGUCCCGGCUGUACUUGGGGACGACCCCUGCGGCAGCGGUGAGGAGCCCGGGCUGGAGGGGCCAGAGGCGAGGCCGUGUCCAGGCAGGGCUGCGGGCAGUGUCCAGGGAAGACCUCCCAGUUCCGGGCCCCUCCGUUGUAAGAGACGGCGCCUCCUAGAGCUCCCGGAGGCCCCCGGGGACUUGGCGGGGCUCUCCCGGCCUCUGGGGGGGGGGGAGGGGGGGAAGGAGGGAGAAGGGGAGCACCGAGAAGAGAAGGGGGGGAGUCCUCGGCUGAGAGGAGGUAAGAGGGGCUCCGGUGGAGGGAGGGGCGGGUCAAGGAAGGAAGAGAAGGUUUAAGUUGCUUUUGUGGGAAUAAGAGGGAGUCAAGGAGCCACCAAAGAAGCGCCUGCUGCAAAUCCCGCCAGGGUAACGCCAAGAAACCCAGGCAGUGGGAACUCAGGGCUCCUUGAACCUCCAGACCAACACUCAGUGCACUGGGUACAACCGUUCUCCCGCCCCCCACCUCCCCAGGAGCCCGUCAGUUCCUUAGCUGUUCUCCCCAAGUGAGAUCAGUCCCCCCUCUGACCUCUGACCUCUCCCGCACGGGGCCUCCCCGUUCCCUGAGCCCUGUGUUUCACCCUCUGAACAAACCCCGCCGUUCCAUGUUCCGGGCGGCCUCCUCCGGGAAGCCCCCCUCAAACAGCUCCACCUUUGCCUUUACUUCCCCCUCUCAGCAACUGCUAGUGGAUGCGAGAGGGGAGGCUCCCUGCAGCCAGGAGAUGUUUCUUUCGGCACCAAGCCCGGUCCUGGGGGCGCUCAACAAACGCACACACGGACUCGCUGAGAGCGUGAGGUCUCCCCCACAUUAUUGGGGUCCCCUCAGCCACUGGAACCCAGGUUCUGCCCUGCCCCCGCUCUGAGUUGGCAAGGGCUGGGUCCACAAGUCCUUGGUAAGCAGCAUGUGACGGCGGCAGACACUUUUGUUGUGCUUUGGAAUAUAAUGAAUUUUUAAAAGACAAGUGUCUCCAAAAUGUCUUUUAGAGCCCGGCCUGCCUGCCUGCCGUGGGGACCGUGCCGUCCAAGGGCCAGGUUUGCUUUGUUGUUAUCAAGAACAUUCCUUGCAAGCUGUGACUCCUUUCUGGCCUCAGUCUAUUCCCCUGUAAAAUGGGGGAGUCGGGCCUGAGGUCCCUUCCUGCCCGAGACCCAGGCCAUGAGUGAACCCUCGGGCUCCUCAUCUAUAAGUGAGCUGGAGAAGGAAAGAGCAAAUCACCGAGAAGACCCCAAACCGGGUCACAAAGAGUCAGCCACGAUGCGGACAACUGAACCCCACACACACCACACGACGGCUCAAGGAAGUUCACAUGAGCAUAGAUCGAAACAGCCCACGUGCAUAUGGCCCGCCAAGGUUUGCAGGACCUUCACCCUGCCCCUUUCACAGAUGAGCAAACUGAGGCAGUCAGAGGUAAAGGGACCUGCCGGGGUGGCAACUCGGGCCCAGUGCUCUGAGCCAUAGCUCAGGGAGGAAGGGAGGAAAGCGAGAAUGAGAGAAAGGGGGAGGAAAGCCCAGCAGCGGCGGUGCUCCCCCCCACCCUCACUCCCCGCCUAACAGCCUACAGGCCCCUGCUCGGCUCAGGCUGGGGGUGGGGGCCAGGAAGUCUUCCCCAACAUGCUCCGGGGCCGGGCGCCCCCCCUCCCCACUCUCCCCUUGGCCCCCAGUGGGCCAUGUCUCAAGGAGUUUCAUGGAAAUCAUUUCCAGACAUUCCCUGCUCUGGAGCUGGAAGGAGGAGAGCAAAGGGGGAGGCGGGGGGAGGGUGGAGGGCAAAAACCAGAUUGGAAGUGGAGAGAUUAGGACGGGGGAGGGGCAGGCUGGCAAGGAGAGUGGGGGAGGGGGGAUGGAAAGAAGGGACAUAGAUGGGGGAUGGGGGAGGGAGCAGGAUUCUGGGAGGAGGAAGGAGCAAGGGAAAGAGGAGGGGGAGAGGGUAGGAUUCUGGGAGGAUGGGGGGAGGGGAGGGAAAAGGAGGGAGCAGGAUUCUGGGAGGAGGAGGGGGGAAGGAAAGGAGGAGCAGGGGAGGAUUAAGCAGGGAAAGUCAGCGGCUAAAGGCAGGGCUGCGACUUUGGAUAACCACGCUGCCUCAGUUUCCUUCUCCGCAAAAGGGCUCAAGACAAAAAACAGCCCAUCCCUACGGGGACUACAGUGAUGGUCUUCCACACUCUGAGCAACUGACAGCCCUUCUGUCCCAAAGGAGAAGCGGAGCCACACUGGCAGCCGGGGCCACACUCCCGGUGCUUUUAGCUGCUUUUCCCAGUUACCGGGGGAAGGGGGCGCACAGGGAAGGACGGGUAUUUCCACUAAGUGGAGUAAAAAUCCUCGAUUUGGGGGGAGUGUGGGGAGGUCAGAUAAAAGGUUGUUAAGGUCCCUCCCCGCUCGAGCGAGCCUCCCCCAUCCCCCACCGGCCCAGUGGCAGGCGCGUGGCUUGGGUUCGGCUCUCCCCUCUUCACGUCCCUCGGACCCUGGGCUACGGGCACCUUGGACUUAGCCAAAAAAUGAUGUCGUGAGUCAGUCUCCUGGGAUGGGAUGGGCUCCUGGGGGCUCUGCCCUCCCUCUCAGACACCCCCAAGUUAGUGGGCAGCAGACCUCUGGGGAACAAGGAGGGCACUGUUUGCCAAGCGUGGGCACAUCAUGCCACCUUCAAAGCUAGGAAGAUUUGGUAAACGAUGAGGGCGUCAGAAAAAAGGGGACAGGGGAGCAGGCCCGGAAAGCCCCGGCCCACUGGGGGCACAUCUGUAAAGAGGGGGAAGGAAAGGGGCCGUGACUGGGACACAGCAUCUCCAGAGCCUGCACGAAUUUGCAGGGAGAGCUCAGCCAGUCUCAUUACUCUCAGAUAAGGAAAACUAAGGCCCAGGAAGGUCAAGAGCUAGUGACAGAGCUAGAACAAAGAGCCCAGGCCUCUGGGAGAGCCUACUGUGCCAUGUUUUCUCCCUCCAUGAGCUGGGGCCUGAGUUCAAAUCCCUUCUUGGAUAAUUUGCCAUCUCUUUUGGAGGAUUUUUCAGCAGAGAUACCAGAAGGCGUGGCCAUCUCCUCCUCCUGCUUAUUUUACAGAUGAGGAAACUGAGGCAGCUAUCCAGGGUCACAGAGCCAGUCGGUGCCUGAGGCCUUCCUGACUGGACAGCUACCCAGCUGCCUUGCUUCUUUCUUGUCUGUAAACGAGUCGCUUCGCUGUCCGGUGCCUCAGUUUUCCUCCUUGUAAAAUCAGGAGGCUAGACAUGAUCCACAGAGCACUGCGGUACUUCUGUUACUCUACAAACUGAUUGUCCUCCUCAUCACGGCAUCUCAUCCGAUGGUCCCCAAAGUCUCUUCCAGCUCAAAAGCUAAGAUUUCAGCAUCCUUCGGGCAUAGAGUGGUGAGUGUGAGAGGGAUCACUCCAUUUGACAAAGAAGGAAACUGAGGCUUUGGAGGCUGGCCCAGCCUGGGCAUCAGGGCCCGAAUUCCACCCCAUGUCUGCUGGCUCCAAGAUCAGAGUAAGGAGGGCAAGCAGGAGGAGGGAGAGGGCCUUGGGAAGGGGGGAUCAGCCUGUCCAAACAGACCGAGGGGCAAGGAGACCCCCCUGGACCCUGCCCCGUGGGCUCCAAGCCUUCUGGUGAGUGUGGGCCGGCUUUCUCCUCCGGCAGCUCCCACUGAGCCGUGCCCGGCCUCCCGCCGGCUCCCUGGCCGAGGCUCUGGGAUCCGGUGCCAGGGUCACUUCUGCUUUGCUGCAAAGGCCUGAGCAGACUGGCCAGAACACAGGCUUCCAGCCGCCGGCCCUCGGGAACACGCUGAUGCUCAUAAAACUCCAAGCAGACUCUGCGGGAACAGCUGUUGGCUGGCAAGGUUUGAAACAAAGUGGCCCCGGCCUGGUGCGGGUGGGCGGGAGGGGGUCACUGUGGCCUCCAGGAAGGCCUCGGGCCAAAUCAGAGCCUCUGGGGGCCAGCGGGGGCCUCUGGUCUGCACCCAAAGCCUCCCCGGACUACAGCUCAGGCCCAAUGGCAGAGCACUCACUGGGAGGCUGGAGGAACUGGAUUCAAAUGUUCCCCCAGACGGGCCCCCACCAGCCCUGGACAAGCUCCCUCGCGAGCUCCCUUCCGGCUCUAGACCAGCCUCCCAAGAAGACCUUCAAGGAGGGAGAAUCCGCAGGCUCCCAGUGCAGGCCGGACUGCUGCCUCUGGUAAAGUAAAGUUUGGCUGGAGUCUUGUUUCCCAUCAGAGCGACUGCCGGCCAGGACACCCCCCACCCCCACCCCCCGAGCCAUGCCCUGUAACAAAACAGGAAAAUAGCAGCCAGGGUAGCAGGUUCGGGGCCCCGGGGGGCCGAGGUACGGAGCACUCUGCAGCCAUUGCCCCCCCCACAAAUGAGAAGACGGAGAGACAGGAGUGAGAGAGACGCAGACCAAGAGAAGAGAAAGAGACCAGCCUCUGAGGAAAGGCCGGAGCUGCCGCCCUCCUUCUCUGAGGGGCCGAUCUCAGGGCUCAUUUGCUUUGUUUCCCCCUUCUGUUCUUGGCUGUCAUGAAGAAGGGGUCCUCCCUCCCCCAGGUGUCAGGCCUAAUUCUGCCUUCUCGCCCAAUCCCAUCUCUGCCUGCCCUGACUCCCGGUUCUGGGACCAGAGAACAAGGACAGAUCUGACUCCACUUGAAGCCCCGUUCACUACUGGAAGAUACCCUCCCCCCGGUCCCAUCUCUCAGGGUUUUGGGGGCGCCUCAUCGGCCGUCUCAUUUACAGCCAGAGCAGGAGGCCGGCCGCUCUCCCUUCUGAACUCUGGGCCUGCCCUCAGACCAUCCUCCCCCCAGAAUGGCCGCCUUCCCUGCGGAUCCCCAGCUUCUG